GCUUUGUCUUCAACAUAAUAUAUUUAUUAAAUAAAUGUAACUGUGUAAUCAUGGAAUCUAAGCACAGGAGGAUUUCCAAGCUUCACCUCACAUCAAAUGCAGGCAUCAUAUAGCCUCUAGGCCUUGGGUUAUGUCAGGGAUUUUUGCUUUUCACUUAGACUUGCAGUUGUCUUUCUUAGAAGAUAUGAAACAUGUUGGUCCCACCUCUAGCCAAGUAAAAACAGGUAUGUGAAUAAAAUGACUAUCAAAACAGGUUCUUUUCAAAGCGUUGGAAAUAUUGGAUUUCUCUUGGCUGUGAAUGUAGUGGGAGUCUUGAUGUCUUCGUCAUAUUGGGGAGCUUUUUAUUCAGCAUACUAAAAACAUGUAUCUAGCAAUUUCUAGAGGGUGCCAGGACUUUUCUUGGGGUUAGAGUAAUGAAGAUGAUUAUACAAUGGCCUCUAUCCAGUUGACGCAACUGAUUAGAUUAGCUAAAUGUUACAGGGCACGGUGGUAUAAAAAAAUUCCUGGAAGACGGAAGAUUUUAUUCACCACAUAAGCAGUCAUGGGGUAGGUGUUCCACAACUAGUUGGAUGUGUCAAGGCACAGCAUCCUACAAAAACAUAGUCUGUUUUGAAAAAUUCAGUCUGCCUGAAGGUGGGUGGCUGGAGAAAAACUUGAGAAGUUAGGAGGGACCACAUCACCCAAUACCUGGUUAACCAACUAGGAGAGAUUUAAUGACUACCUGUAUAGCCAGCAGGAACAUUUAAUGUGGGGUACAAGAUCACCUUUGUUCUUUAGGAAGUUUGUAGUCAUUCAUAAAUCCAAAGGAAAAAGCAAAAAUUCAGGCCAUGUUAUGCCUCACAUGUAAAAUAGCCUGCUAUCCAGCCCUGGGCAUUGCAUUAUUCCAGUAAGGGCUAAUGUUGUAUAUUCUUCUCAACUAUUUCAAUAAAAAAUGUGGAGGAUACAUUCCAGUUGAAAGAUCACUUAUUUGAAUUUUACCUUUUAGUGCCAAGAUUGCAGGGAAAAAUAUCAUUUGUGAGCCUCUCGGAAGGUUGGCUGAUCUGCAGAUAGGAUAAAAUAUCCUGCAUGUACUCUCCAUUUGAUUUGUAAUUUACAUAGCAUCUCUUUGUUCAUCAAGGAACACCCUGCAUGACUUCCUGACACUGACCUGGAUUUUACUUAUGGCUGCCCUAAAUUGUGUUAUCAUGGUGUACCGGUUGUUCAGUAUUCAGCCUUGCUCCUCUGUAACUUAAUAUUAUGAUUUAUUUCUGACUUGGCUUUUCUUUAUCGAAUGCUGACUUUUUCUAAGAGGUUCAUGUGGAAAUGUGCUACAUGAAAAAAAAAAAAGGAGCACAGUUUGGCCUCAGGGCAAAAACAUGAAUACUGACCCAGGGACAUGAAUACAGGGCAGAAGAGAGAGUGGCACAGGCAACAAAAUUAACUCAUUUCUUUGCCUUUUGUGUGUUCCUAAGUGUGUGGAGUGACUCAAAUUUUAGCACAGAAAGUAAAGUUAGAAAGCAACUGCUAUUUGCCAACAACCCAUUCUUUAAUUCUCAAAGAUCAAAAAUUUGCUUGAAAACUGACAUUUUCAUUUUCUCCUGGCCCAGUGAACAAAGUUUUAAGGUUAUGUGGUCGCUCUGAUACCACCUAAGAAGCAAAUAUUUCUUGCAGUCUACUUCUAGAUGUGAAUGAACUGAAAGUAAAUGACUCAGAGAUGGAGUAAAUGUCCCUUGAAAUACACCCAAACUUAAUAAUUAGGAGAAGAGUGCUUGAAUAAACACAUUUAGAGUGUUAUUGAGCAUAUACAAGCUUAGAUGGUCCAUAUUUCUAAAAGACAGUGAGUCUAUAGCACAUUCUUCGGAGAUGAGAAAAUUAUGCCAUAAAUAAAAUUUGUAGUGGAGGCAUUUGUUUUAUCAUUCAGUUAAGUAGCAGGAAUUCUUUCAUACCUAGAGGGACUUAGGUAAAACUAAUAAACAGACAUACUUAACAACAAGAACAACAACAACAAAAAUAAAGCAUUACCAUUCAAGAGUGUGAAAUCACUUCUCUGAGAGCCUUUUUGGAUUGAAUAUUCUUUUUGGGCUGGUAAUGUCAAACUAAAACUUUACCUAAACACAGAUAACUAGGUGGCUCUUAGCAUACCUUUCAGGGCUUAUGGUCUCCAAUUAUUCCACUCACAUCCCCCUAUACAUUUCCAAAUCACCUCUUUCAGUGUCUCCAGUGUUUAAACAUGAACUGGAUAGAGUGUUGCAUGGUAGUAUUAAAUAAAAUUUAGCUUAAAGCUGUUUCCUUACAUAUUAUAAGUUCUGUCUAAAGGUUUCUACGUGCAUAGUAUACAUGUCAUUGAAAGUGUAAAUGGACUAUAACCUACUCUGAUACCAAUCACUGAGUUGUGGCCAAUCAAAGGUGGCCAACUGCUCAAACCACAUUCAAAUAUGGCAAAUGCUGAGCUGUAACCAAUCCCGUUGUUUCUGUACCUCAUUUCUGUUUUCUCUCUGUCACUUUUCUUUUUCUUUCCAUAAAUCUUCUUCAACCACCUGGCAGUGCCAGAGUUUCUCUGAACCCAUUCUGGCUUGGGGGAUGCCUGAUUCAUGAAUCAUUCUUUGCUCAAUUAAACUCUGUUUAAUUUAAUUUGUCUAAGGUUUUUCUUUUAACAGUAGAGAUAGGAGUACAACACACUUUGAGGUGUACAGGAGUGAGUUCAAAUCCUAGCUCUGUUAUUGGCUUGAUUUCUCAUCUUGAGCAAGGUACUUAGUUUCUCUGAGCCUUAGUUUCUGCACUUGUAAAUGUGGAGAAGUGAAACACCAGACUUGAGAGGAUGCUCUGCUAUCUGAACGAGGUAAUGGGAAAAUGCUCGGCCAGUGUUGUAACUCAAUCUUCUUAUCCAACAGUGAGCCCCUUGGGCACCCAGACCCAGACUCGCCCUUCUAGUCUCACGUCUUGCACUCUCUGGCACAUCUCAUGUAGGCUCUGUUGCCUGUCAUGUUUUCCAGUCCACAAAUACCCUUGGCAUGCUCUCAUGUCUGUACUUGGUCCACAUUAUUCUAACGUGAAUACAUGAAACUUCUAAUGACAGUGCAAUCUUUCUAGACAAUCUCUGAAGGAGAAAUGUUACUAGUCUGUGGUGAAUAUAAAAAUAGGCUCAUAGGGAAAAAAAACUGUGAUUGAAGGUAUAAUUCUGCAUUUUCUUGGGAUAUACAUAAAUAGCAAGUAGUCAUUUUUUACUUAAAAAAAAAAAAAGAAAUCUACAGAAAGAAAAUUUAGCUGUCUUUCUGUUGCUAACCUUCCAGGAGGCCUUGGUUCUCCUUUAAGGUUGAAGUUCGUUUGUGACAGGUUAGUGCUGCUCAUUUUUGUGGCUUUCCAGAAGCCACCGUGGAAAAGGCAGAAGUCUUCCCCUCCCAUUAUGCUGAGUCAGACAUGGCAUCUACAUGACUCAUCACCAAGUGGUUCUCCAGAAUUCACUUUGCUUGCUUUUCCCCAAUCCAGAUAAUCCUCGGGACUGGUAGCCACCCAACUCACUCCUGCACACUGUUCUUCCUCUUUGGAGGCACCCACCAUGCCUGUCUGAUGCUGCCCCUCAAGGUCACAUCGGAGUCUCCUGUACCUACCUUGUCUGUGGCUACCCAACUCUAUACAAUUUCUGAAGCUUUCAUAACACCCAGAUGGUCUAUAAUGUAAUAUGUGUUUAGAUAAUCCUCAGGCCAAAACAUCUUUCCAAAAUUUAACUGUAAAUCUGUCACUUCCAUGGGUUAUGUUAGUCUUUUCCAUGUUCAAAUGGCUAUCUGAGCUCCUGGGGAGGGGAAGUCACUCCCGGAGUUCUCUUUCCAUCAUUCAUAGUGUGAAUCUCACCUUGGGCUGGGAGGAAUUUGUGAUGGGCAUACAAGUGAGAAAAAGGGUGCAAAGGGGUGAGAUGGUAUGUUAGUCAGGGUUCUCUAGAGGGACAGAAUUAAUAGGAUAGAUGUAUAUACAAAGGGGAAUGUAUUAAGGAGUAUUAACUCACGAGAUCACAAGGUAAGGUUGCAUAAUAGGCCAUCUGCAACCUGAGGAGCAAGGAAGCCAGUCCAAGUCCCAAAGCUGAAGGACCUUGAGUCCAAUGUUUGAGGGCAGGAAGCAUCCAGCAUAUGGGAGAAAGAUGUAGGCUUGGAGGCUAAGCCAGUCUAAUCUUUUUUUUUUUUUUUGAGAUGGAGUUGCCCUCUGUCACCCAGGCUGGAGUGCAGUGGCGUGAUCUCAGCUCACUGCAACCUCCGCCUCCGCCUCGCAGUACCUGAGAUUACAGGUGCAUGCCAACACGGCUAAUUCUUGUAUUUUUAGUAGAUACAGGGUUUCACCAUGUUGGCCAGUUGGUCUGGAACGAACUCCUGACCUCAAGUGAUCCGCCCACCUCAGCCUCCGAAAGUUCUGCGAUUACAGGUGUGAGCCACUGUGCCUGGCCAAGCCUAAUCUUUCCACGUUCUUCUGCUUGCUUUUAUUCUAGUUACACUGUCAGCUGGUUAGAUGGUGCCCUCCCAGAUUGAAGGUAGAUCUGCGUUUCCCAGUCCACUGACUCAAAUGUUAAUCUCCUUUGGCAACGCCUUCACAGACACACCCAGAAUCAAUACAUUGCACCCUUCAAUCCAAUCAAGUUGACAUCCAGUAGUAACCAUCACAGAUGGCUAAUACGGGAGAUAUUCAUGAAGGGUCUGGGAAGGGGAUUUGGAAGAGAUAUGGACACAAAGGAAGGAGGAAAGAAAAGGGGAAGUGAGACGGGAACCAAACCAAACACCCUGUAUUGCACAAUUGAGCCUGGAGUUGGCCUGCUCGCCACAGAGCAGUCACAGGUUUUCAGGAUGCUUUAGUGAUAGCAGCCAUCAGUACCUCUCAUUAGGAGCAAAAGCCCUGAUUGGUAAUAGUAUAUUCUACUUAUUUAGAGAAUAAAAGUUCCCUGUUAGAACCAGCCUUCUCAGAAUGGCAUUCAGCUUUUCAGAAAAGCACAGCACCAGCAUAUUUCUUAUCUGCCUUGAAGGUUAUAAUAAAUCCCUUCUUCUGUUAAUUCAUAAAUCCUUCAGCCACAUGCCAUUUUGGGGCCAUAUGCUUUCUUUCCUCCCUCUAACCCUUGGAAAGAUCUUUCAUAUCCAAUCUCUGUAGAUAAUCUGAAUGUGAAAUCAGGUAUGGUUAUCUAAUCCCUCUAAUCAGAAGGUCAGCAGUUACCUGCAGCUUUUCCAUCUGUCCUCCAGCUGAAUGCUGCCAUUUAGUAAAUCAAAAAUUGGUUACAAAUUAGCAAAGCUGACUGGCUCAAUGAAAUCUAGCCUGGAGUCUUUGCUGGAAGGGGGGAAGUUUAAAUAUGGUUUGAAGGGAGAUUUGAGGUGAACUCUAUUUAUCAAAGCCGUGGAGUAGCAGCAUAAAAGAUGAGAGAUGUUCUCCUGGGUAAAAAUGUCAAAUCACAUGGGAAAUGGGAAUAUUUCACAUGGUGAUUACUGAAUUUUACAAUUGUUCGCAAAUUGAUUCAGCCCAGAAAUCAACUGGGAAGUCUCCCACAGGUGUCUAGCACUCUGCAGGUAUUAGCGUGAUACAGGGUAAGUCUCAAAGUACAAAAAAAAACACACAUGUGAAACAAUUUGCAAACAAUGAAGUGCUAACCUGUGUGGUGUGAAUUACAGAUGCAUUAGGACACCAGAAAAGGAAGAAAAGACAGUGGCAGCUGAAGACAUUUCAGGAAUGCUUCACUGAGAACCUAAGUCUUGUUCUGGGCCAUAAAGAAAAGGGGAGGGUGUGGUUUCUAUACCAGAGAUAAGAAAGGAGAAAAUUGGACGUGGAGGAAAGAUAUGAGUACCAAUCCGAGCGAACAAGGAAGAGUGAGUAAAUCUGUCCAGCUGGAGUUGGAGGUACAUUCUGGAAAAUGGUGAGAGAGGCUGUGUAGGGUAGGGGGACACGGAAAGAUGGGCCAAGACAUUUGGAGCUGAUAUUUGAUAUGGUUUGGCUGUGCCCCCACCCAAAUCUCAUCUUAAAUUGUAAUCCCCAUAAUCCCCACGUGUCGAGGGAGGGACCCGGUGGGAAGUGAUUGGAUCAUGGGGGCAGUUUUCCCCAUGGAAUUCUCGUGAUAGUGAGUGAGUUCUCACGAGAUCUCAUGGUUUUACAAGCGUCUGGUAUUUCACCUGAUUGCACUUCUCUCUUCUGCCUCCUAGUGAAAAAGGUGCCUGCUUCUCCUUCUGCCAUGAUUAUAAGUUUCCUGAGGCUUCCCCAGCCAUGCGUAACUCUCCUUCCCAUUUAUGAGAGAGCCACAUGACAUCAGCCCAUAGACUGUGGAGAGUAUUCCAGAUCUAUCACAUUCUGCGAUUCUGCGAUUCCCAGAAGGCUGGUCAUGAAAAAAUUCCCUCUUCAGUUUACAUAUAUGGCAGUGGCACUUCUAGAUAUCUGUUGAGGCCUGGAAGGGGCAAAACAAUUCAGGAAGCAGUUGAAGAUAAAGGGGUUUACCAUGGAAGAGAAGAUCCAGGUGCCUUCAUGGAAAUGCUUGUGGUUGAAAAGAGAUGAAGAUGAGGGUCCCUGGAAAGAGGAAGAACCAGCCAGGAAAAUUAUACCAUUAGCAAGACUGGCAUCAGCAAGUAGUUCGCAGUGUUGGUUGUUCUUGGUUUCGCAGGAUUUUAUAGGAGAUGGACCUUCUCCUAAAAGUCUUAUCUUCUAAGUCUCCUAAGUCUUGGACUUUUCAAGGCCAAAGAUUUAAAGGCCAAGUGGACCAUACGGGAGAUCUAGUUUCCCAUCCAGACAGCCAAGCUCAUGCAUCCCUGGAUUUGGAUGGAUGGUUUCCCAUGGGGCCUUGGACAGAUUGGACCCAGCACUGGCACAGGGUUGACUUGGAGGAAUAAGCUCCUGGAAACCUCAAUUAGCGUUUGGGGUAUGAACAUUAAACAAUACUGAAUCUGGAAACAAUACAUCACACAGCGGGUCCAAGGAAAUAAGCAGAAGGCUGGCAGCAGGCCAGGGCCAGGGGCCAAAUCGCUCCUCAAAGACAAUUCUUCAUGGAGAAAUGACAGCAGGUUUGAGGACAGCAGGUGACACAUAUUACAUAUUCAGAGAGGUCACAUUGGAUUUCCAUUCUCCAAGCCUGAGGGUAAUUUCCUAGAUGUGAAAUAUUUGUUUCAAAAUCUAUCAGCAUUGGGGUGGAGCCAAGAUGGCCGAAUAAGAACAGCUCCGGUCUACAGCUCCCAGCGUGAGUUACGCAGAAGACGGGUGAUUUCUGCAUUUCCAUCUGAGGUACCGGGUUCAUCUCACUAGGGAGUGCCAGACAGUGGGUGCAGGACAGUGGGUGCAGUGCACCAGGCAUGAGCCGAGGCAGGGCAAGGCAUUGCCUCACUCGGGAAGUGCAAGGGGUCAGGGAGUUCCCUUUCCUAGUCAAAGAAAGGGGUGACAGAUGGCACCUGGAAAAUUGGGUCACUCCCACCCUAAUACUGUGCUUUUCCAAUGGGCUUAAAAAACGGCACACCAGGAGAUUAUAAACUGCACCUGGCUUGGAGGGUCCUACGCCCACGGAGUCUUGCUCAUUGCUAGCA
RNAcentral lists this long non-coding RNA (7502 nucleotides) under Homo sapiens (human). RNAcentral describes it as "HSALNT0250479". Lineage: Eukaryota; Metazoa; Chordata; Mammalia; Primates; Hominidae. The record is from RNAcentral.